Molecule: microRNA, 22 nt
Filed under: Pongo pygmaeus (Bornean orangutan)
Lineage: Eukaryota; Metazoa; Chordata; Mammalia; Primates; Hominidae
Also listed under: 2 other names
Description: ppy-miR-4637
Source: miRBase by way of RNAcentral
UACUAACUGCAGAUUCAAGUGA